GUCUAUGGCCAUACCUCCCUGAACACACCCAAUCUCAUCUCAUCUCGGAAGCUAAGCAAGGUUGGGCCUGAUUAGUACUUGGAUGGGAGAAAUAAAGCAAGAUGUUAAGCCA
Molecule: ribosomal RNA, 112 nt
Filed under: Castor canadensis (American beaver)
Lineage: Eukaryota; Metazoa; Chordata; Mammalia; Rodentia; Castoridae
Source: RNAcentral